Molecule: ribosomal RNA, 328 nt
Filed under: Anapis sp. LB-2014a
Lineage: Eukaryota; Metazoa; Arthropoda; Arachnida; Araneae; Anapidae
Description: partial 12S ribosomal RNA
Source: RNAcentral
AUUUAAAUUCAUUUGGUAAUAAUAAUUUUUAAUAAAACCUUUAUAUUUUGGCGGCAUUUAAUUUAAUUAGAGGAACCUGUCUUUUAAUCGAUAAUCCACGUUAAUUUUCACUUAAAUUAUAAGCUUUUAUACCACCAUCUAAAGAAUUAAUUAUAAAAUAUUAUUCUAAAUAAUUUUAUAAAAAGUUAGGUAAAGGUAUAGUUUAUAUAUAAGAUUUGAUGUGUUACAUUAAAUAAAAUUUAAUUUAAAAUUAUCAAAAUAUUUUAAUUUUAGAAUUUAAAAGUAAUAUAAUAAUAAUAAUAAUUUAUGAAUUAAAAAAAAAAUGUGU